GAUGAACGCUGGCGGCGUGCCUAAUACAUGCAAGUCGAGCGAACAGAUGAGGAGCUUGCUCCUCUGUCGUUAGCGGCGGACGGGUGAGUAACACGUGGAUAACCUACCUAUAAGACUGGGAUAACUUCGGGAAACCGGAGCUAAUACCGUAUAAUAUAUUGAACCGCAUGGUUCAAUAGUGAAAGACGGUUUUGCUGUCACUUAUAGAUGGAUCCGCGCCGCAUUAGCUAGUUGGUAAGGUAACGGGUUACCAAGGCAACGAUGCGUAGCCGACGUGAGAGGGUGAUCGGCCACACGGGAGCGUGGACACGGUCCUGACUCCUACGGGAGGCAGCAGUAGGGAAUCUUCCGCAAUGGGGGAAAGCCUGACGGAGCAACGCCGCGUGAGUGAUGAAGGUCUUCGGAUCGUAAAACUCUGUUAUUAGGUAAGAACAAAUGUGUAAGUAACUAUGCACGUCUUGACGGUACCUAGUCAGAAAGCCACGGCUAACUACGUG
This 497-nucleotide ribosomal RNA is filed under the name uncultured bacterium. RNAcentral's name for it is "partial 16S ribosomal RNA". It matches the Rfam family "Bacterial small subunit ribosomal RNA", at positions 28 to 507 of the family's 1533-position model. The record is from RNAcentral.